GCAGUUGUAGCUCAGUUGGUGAGCGCCUGUCUGUGGAACAGGAGGUCGGUGGUUCGAGCCCAUCCAACUGUACCA
This 75-nucleotide transfer RNA is filed under the name Bradyrhizobium sp. YR681. Its description in RNAcentral is "tRNA-OTHER". It matches the Rfam family "tRNA". From Rfam's summary of the family: Transfer RNA (tRNA) molecules are approximately 80 nucleotides in length. Their secondary structure includes four short double-helical elements and three loops (D, anti-codon, and T loops). Lineage: Bacteria; Pseudomonadati; Pseudomonadota; Alphaproteobacteria; Hyphomicrobiales; Nitrobacteraceae. The record is from RNAcentral.